GGGCAACCCUGGCGGCGAGCGGCGAACGGGUGAGUAAUAUAUCGGAACGUACCCAGACGUGGGGGAUAACUAGUCGAAAGAUUAGCUAAUACCGCAUACGUCCUGAGGGAGAAAGCGGGGGAUCGCAAGACCUCGCGCGUUUGGAGCGGCCGAUAUCUGAUUAGCUAGAUGGUGAGGUAAAGGCUCACCAUGGCGACGAUCAGUAGCUGGUCUGAGAGGAUGAUCAGCCACACUGGAACUGAGACACGGUCCAGACUCCUACGGGAGGCAGCAGUGGGGAAUUUUGGACAAUGGGCGAAAGCCUGAUCCAGCCAUUCCGCGUGAGUGAAGAAGGCCUUCGGGUUGUAAAGCUCUUUCGGCAGGAACGAAACGGUGAGAGCUAAUAUCUCUUACUAAUGACGGUACCUGAAGAAGAAGCACCGGCUAACUACGUGCCAGCAGCCGCGGUAAUACGUAGGGUGCGAGCGUUAAUCGGAAUUACUGGGCGUAAAGCGUGCGCAGGCGGUGACUCAAGUCAGAUGUGAAAGCCCCGGGCUUAACCUGGGAACGGCAUUUGAAACUAGGUCGCUAGAGUAUGGCAGAGGGGGGUAGAAUUCCACGUGUAGCAGUGAAAUGCGUAGAGAUGUGGAGGAACACCGAUGGCGAAGGCAGCCCCCUGGGUUGACACUGACGCUCAUGCACGAAAGCGUGGGUAGCAAACAGGAUUAGAUACCCUGGUAGUCCACGCCCUAAACGAUGCCAACUAGGUGUUGGGGAAGGAGACUUCCUUAGUACCGUAGCUAACGCGUGAAGUUGGCCGCCUGGGGAGUACGGUCGCAAGAUUAAAACUCAAAGGGAAUUGACGGGGACCCGCACAAGCGGUGGAUGAUGUGGAUUAAUUCGAUGC
This 886-nucleotide ribosomal RNA is filed under the name uncultured bacterium. RNAcentral describes it as "bacterial SSU rRNA". It matches the Rfam family "Bacterial small subunit ribosomal RNA", at positions 77 to 957 of the family's 1533-position model. The record is from RNAcentral.